CGCACGGGUGCGUAACGCGUGGGAAUCUGCCCUUGGGUUCGGAAUAACAGUGAGAAAUUACUGCUAAUACCGGAUGAUGUCUUCGGACCAAAGAUUUAUCGCCCAGGGAUGAGCCCGCGUUAGAUUAGCUAGUUGGUGGGGUAAUGGCCUACCAAGGCGACGAUCUAUAGCUGGUCUGAGAGGAUGAUCAGCCACACUGGGACUGAGACACGGCCCAGACUCCUACGGGAGGCAGCAGUGGGGAAUAUUGGACAAUGGGCGAAAGCCUGAUCCAGCAAUGCCGCGUGAGUGAUGAAGGCCUUAGGGUUGUAAAGCUCUUUUACCAGGGAUGAUAAUGACAGUACCUGGAGAAUAAGCUCCGGCUAACUCCGUGCCAGCAGCCGCGGUAAUACGGAGGGAGCUAGCGUUGUUCGGAAUUACUGGGCGUAAAGCGCGCGUAGGCGGUGACUCAAGUCAGAGGUGAAAGCCCGGGGCUCAACCCCGGAACUGCCUUUGAAACUAGGUCGCUAGAAUCUUGGAGAGGCGAGUGGAAUUCCGAGUGUAGAGGUGAAAUUCGUAGAUAUUCGGAAGAACACCAGUGGCGAAGGCGACUCGCUGGA
This 599-nucleotide ribosomal RNA is filed under the name Novosphingobium indicum. Its description in RNAcentral is "bacterial SSU rRNA". It matches the Rfam family "Bacterial small subunit ribosomal RNA", at positions 99 to 733 of the family's 1533-position model. Lineage: Bacteria; Pseudomonadati; Pseudomonadota; Alphaproteobacteria; Sphingomonadales; Sphingomonadaceae. The record is from RNAcentral.